RNAcentral lists this ribosomal RNA (295 nucleotides) under Stephonyx biscayensis. RNAcentral's name for it is "partial 16S ribosomal RNA". It matches the Rfam family "Bacterial large subunit ribosomal RNA", at positions 2079 to 2610 of the family's 2925-position model. The record is from RNAcentral. Lineage: Eukaryota; Metazoa; Arthropoda; Malacostraca; Amphipoda; Uristidae.
GACGAUAAGACCCUAAAAGUUUUAUUUUAACGGAGAUUUGAGUUAAAAAUAAGAAGGUAAUUUAGCUGGGGUAGCAACUUUAAUUUAGCUGAGGGCUUAUUAGACACUAAGUGGGUAAGGUCCUUUAUAUAGGGAUAAUUAGAAAAAGUUACUUUAGGGUUAACAGCGUAAUAAACUCAAGGAGAUCGUAUUUAUGAGUUUGAUUGCGACCUCGAUGUUGAAUUAUAUUAUCAUUAUGGAGCAAUCCCUAUAGGUGAGGGUUUGUUCAACCUUUAAAUUUUUACAUGAUCUGAGU